This is a long non-coding RNA of Falco peregrinus (peregrine falcon), 6569 nucleotides long. RefSeq lists it as uncharacterized. The transcript is spliced from 2 exons. The record is from RefSeq and is a predicted model, not a curated record. Lineage: Eukaryota; Metazoa; Chordata; Aves; Falconiformes; Falconidae.
GGACAACGUGAGAAGGAAAAGCUGUCAUAAAUACAUAUGUGCAUAUAUAUAUCUCUAACAGUGGAAUUGCCUUCAAAUGAAUUACCUGAUUGUUACUAGUGUAGGUAAGAUUUCUUGAUGUCGUCUGAAAUGUAGAUGCAAAGCUGUUGUGUAUCUGUCACUCAAAACAGAGUCCUUCGCUGCUUUGUGGUAUGAAUUAUGGAAUUAUGCUUCACUGGAACAUAAUGGCAAGUGGUGGUUAAUUUCUUGUGCAGUUACCCAUAGAAUGGACUGACUUUGAGUGGUCUGUUUUAGCAGUUUCUGUUACUUUUGACUCUUAGGAAAAAUUACUAUAAAUGCCACCAGAUACUCAGCACGCAUUUCGUGAUGUGCCUUGCUUUUUGUGGUUUUUUUUUUUCUGGAAUCCUACAUUCUCGGUCUCCUUAUGAGUUCAUGGUGCUAUUAUAGUUUGCAAGUUAGAUGUAACCCAAGGCUAAGGGUUAAAAAAAAAAAAAAAAAUUGACAUGGGAUGUGUUUUUCCAUUACAAUGCAUAGGGUAUACAGUGGUUUGUGGUAUAGUCAUCUUUGUGCUAGCCCCACCGUGGCACUGUAAAGGUUUACCGUUCAUGUAAAUAACAGCUUGUGAAAGUACUUCAGAAUUAACUCUUAGCUGUUCCUGUUGACAUGAUUGAUUUGAAGUUGUUUUGGAACUGGACAGUGAUGUGCAAAAGUGCUUUCCGCUUUUCUCAGAGCGGGAUCUGCACAUGCUGUUUCUUGGAUCUUGCCUGGGAUUUCUUUUUUUUUCUCUUUAAUCUUCUGGUUUUAAAGGAAUGGCCUAUGUGAGUAACUGCUGCUGAGACAGGAAAAAUUCUUGUGCUACUUUUAGCGCUCCAUUCUUCCCCCUCCCAAAAUGUUAUGUUUUUAUUCCCUAACACUUAAAAGAAAGACUUUGUUCAAGUUAUUUGAUAGUAUGCUAAACCUAGGUGUUAUUUGUUCAACUUUGCUAUAGUGAUUCUGUAUGAGAUUAUGUCCAAAGGUACACAUACUUAGAAAAGCGGAAUAUUUUGUCUUUAAUCAGAAUUAAAGCUAUUAGGAUUUCUUAGUCCUGGGAAGGCUAGACUAAUAAGCGUUGGAAAGAUAAUGAUUUUCAAGCAGGCAGUGAAUGACGAAAUGUGAACCAAGGACAGCCAGUUGUCUUCUGUGAUGAUCCCAUGACUGUAACUGUUUCGUUCCUGUUAGCUGGAUGUUCUGUCUGGUGACAUAGGAAUAUGAAUGGUGAUAGAAGGUAGUGAACUUAUUUAUUGAUCUAAUUCAUUGCCAGCACCUCUACAGAGAUUUGUUCUUAAAGCAACUGGGCACACUUAACAUCUCAGUUAGCUAAUAUUAAAAAAAACCCAUGAUUUUGUUUGGCUUGAUAAUUCACGUAAGUAUUAAUAAGGACUUUGAAACAGAAUCUACAGAUCUUCAUUUCUGUAAAAAGCAAAAAGUGUUGGUGGUAGUUUUCCAAGUUUUCUUUGCUAUAAAUGUUUAGCAUUUCCUAGUUCUAUAUAGUAUUUGGACUUGGAAGAAAGGAAGUGUUCUCUGUUAACAAAACGUGUUGUCUCAUAAUUAAUAUAGUAGACAUUUUGGUUAGUGCUGGCUUGGCCUUCCCACGUGCCAGAUAACAGUACUUCCUUUUUUUUUUUUUAUAAGCUCAGUUCAUGUGCAGUUUUGUCAGUCCAGUCUUGCGGAAUUUUACUUAUGCGUACAUUUAUAUUGUACUAGUAUCUAAUCAUGUACUUACACAGCUGUCAUAUGUCUGCACAUGAAAAAACAAAUUGAAGUGGCUUGUAACUGCAGGAAAUAAAUAAAUUUUUUAAAAUGACACUGCAUUUCUGUUUGUUUGAGGGUUUUUUGCCAAGUGUUCCUUUUUUCUAUACAUGAAAUACAAAGUACUGAACAUCUUGACAUGUCUCAAACAUGGCGGCUGUUUGCAACUGAAAAAGGUGGGGUCUUCUGAAGUGUUGUCCAAAUGCAUAUUUAUGCCGUGAUUCCGGGUGAGCUCACACUGCUACUGGGAUUGCUGGGAAGGGGUGACGGGAAUUCAGCAUGCUAGCUUUGCAGUUCUGUUGGUGGGGAGGAGGAGUUGAAGCGAGUGUUGCAGAACUAGGCAAUGCGGGGCCACAAAGGCAACAAUGAAUUUUGGGAAUGGAAGAGGGAGAUCUGACACACCAUCCUGGUGAUGCGAAGCCUGUGACUAUUGCUUAUGUUAGAGAGUCAUGGAGUAGUUUCUGAUAUUUUUCAGUGCACUAAUUUUGGAGCAGAGGAAAAUACCUGAAUGACAACCAGGUUGGUGGUCCAUAGGCCAGAAGUGAAAUUGUAGAUGCACUAGCAACUUUGUCACAUGCUGUAUAUGCAGGUGCCAUGUACAGUUUACCUUUGGAGGGGAGAGCUAGGGAGGAAUACAAAGGUCCUUGCUUGCUGAGUGAGUGGAGUGCCUGUGCAGGCUAGCGUUUGGGGUUUGGAUUAAUUACCUGUGGGUUUUGUGACUGAUUAAAAGUAAUACAUUCAAGUCCUCAGCGACUCUAGGCUGGCCUCCAUGAAGCACUGGCUUUCCUUGCUGUGAACUCGCAGCUGCAUUUGGCAGAAAUGCUUGAGCUCAUGUUUUUCUUCAUACAAAGAACAACUGUUCAACACUUGGAGGGCAUCCCCCCCUUCUGUAUGUAUGAAAUAAUCUGCAUCUGUGAUUCCUUCUCCCCAGCAAAUCUGCAAAACACCUGUUGGGACAAGAGCUUUGAGAAGGCUGAGGCUUGGCAUCCUGGUUGAUUGAAUUUAUUCAAGUAUUACUUUACUGGACUGCUGAGAUCUUCUUUGUUUGCAACUGUAGAUGUUAAAUUAAACAUACUUGUGAAAUCUAAGAGAAGAUGUUGAAGCUAAAGUAAUCAUUUUCUGCUCCCUUGUUAUAAUUACUUGUAUUUUUCAGUAGCUAAAUCUACGUGGAGGAAAAUAAGAAUGAAAAUUAUCGAAAUAAUAGGAGUACCUUAAAGUUAUGGAGGAGAAAUGGGCAUUAGUUUAAGAAAAUACAGCACAAUUAGGAAGACAUACAAAUGUAGCAUCAAAAGCUGUAAAACUUGGCCCACUAAGGAAACUGUUGAAAUAUCCAACAGCACAAAAGUUUAUUUUUACAUAAACAGUUUGAGAUGGGCAUCUUUGACCGUUACCCAGUUUGUACCACCCCAUUCAUCUCCCAUAUAUAUUUUGGUGUUGAAUUUCAGUUUUGAGAAGUAUUUGAAUUUGAGAUUUCUAGGUGGUGGUCUGCUCUGAGCAUCAAGGGCCUUGGCAGGUAAAUUGCGACAGAAUGCUGAUCUCUGCAGGCUGCGAGAAGUUUUUCUCCCAUUUUCCUUUUUGUACCUCUACAGCAUCAGGGACUGUACAUGUCUAUUACUGUGUUCUGAUAUUUAGGAGAUUAAAUGUUUAAAAUGUGUUCAAACUUCAUAAUGUUAGUACGGCUUAGUGUUUCAUGUGCUUUGAGUUGCGUGAAUUGUAGCUCACAAUAUAUUGAAGUGUGUCUGUGCAGAUUCAUUUUUGGAUAUCUUGAAAGCCAGUGCUGUAUAUUUAUUGUUAAGCUAAUUUUUAGUUCCUGUAAACAUCCUACACUCAGCUAUAACAAGUGGUGGGGCUGGGGGGUGGAUGUUUACUUCAACUGACUUGGAAAGGCAGCUUUCCUCAAUGAUCAAGUGACAUAUUGGCAAGAACUGAAUACUAUUUUUCAGUAGUAUUCAAAUAGCUUAUUGUAUUUAAAUACUCUUAAUUUCUGUGGAAGUAGUAUGUAUUUCUAUAAAUGUCUUAAUACUCAAAUUAUGUUUUAGAUGGGCUGUAUAAAACCGCAUUUAUUGUGAAACAGUCUUUAACUGAUGAACUCUGUAUCGUUUUUUGAAUUACAAAUAAACUGUGAUAAUAUAUCUUUGCUUGAAGAGUAAUUCUGAUACCCUGAUGACAGAGAAAUAAUCUAAAAUCUUGUAUUCAGUGUUCAAGUAAUAAAUGACUGCUGCAAUUGAGAAUUGUUAUCUACUUGCUCAUCGUCGAAGGAGGAAUAGAUGUAUUGGGUAAUGCUAAAAUAAACCCAACCAACCAGCAGUAAGACUACUCAGACUUAACCAUUUCUGUUGCCCUGUAUAUCUAACAAAAUUAAAACAAUCUCAUUUUGACAGGCAAAAUCUGGAUAGGAGAACCAGGAAGGAGAUGAGCAUCUCUCGUUUUCCUAUAACUCUUCUUACAUCAUGUCUUACCUCUUGAAAUCAUAUUUUUACUAGUGAUGAAUGUGGUGUUAAAUGGAGUAUGACUCCAACAUCUGGAGAAUAUUAAGUACCAAAUUUAACAGUUCAAAAUGUUUUUAUUCAAAUGGAAGAAUGAAGGACGUGGGAUUCAUCAUUGUGAAGCAUAAUCUGGCUUCUUGAGGAUCGUUUUUACUGUUUUGUAUCCCUGUGAAUAUCAGAAAGGCUCGGACUGAGAUGUAACAUUUCUUAUGUAGAAGGCCAAACACAUUCUGAAAAUUAUCAAGAUCAUCUUUCCUCAUUUAAAUUCACAUACAUGAGCAUCGUUUUGCUAUAGUAAAGCUUUUUGCUGUGGUUUUAUUUUUACUUCCAAACUGAGGUCUUUUUAAUUGGUAGAAGUCCUUGUGAGCAGGCUGUAUGGCAUAUACCCUACUGCAAACAGCUGCGUGCAAGAAAAUGUAUCAAAUUCUGGGGUUUCGGAUAAUUCUAGUGUGUGAUCGCUGCAGUACAUCUAUGUAUUUACUGUGUGUGCGUGUCUGAGUACAUAAAUCAAGACCUAGUAAAACUUACUUUAGUUCAUCUGUUUAAUUGGUACAAAACUCUGACUUCCCCAGUUGGGGUGACCUAAGGGAGAAUGAGGGAUGUGAACUGUCCUUCUCGGGAAAUACCAUGUAAUUAAAAAAGCUUACCUCCAGAAACGAAUCUGCGUGUCUUUCUAGUCUGUUCUGUUCCCCGGAGUUAGAUGCCUUGUGGCAUGCCUAGAACUUCAAGUUGCUGGUGAAAAAUUAUCCUGCCAGGGGUUACCAUGCUCUGGGAAUGCCAGAUUUUGAUUGCAACAUAAAGUGAUGAGGCGAGAAGGAUAUACCUGUGAACCUGUAACGUGUUCCAGCUUUGCCGUUCUGUGUUGUGGUGAUUAACGUUGACAUAUGCUCUUGACCUGUCCAAUGAAUUUCUACCCUUGUUCGUAUAAAGGAACACGCAGUACAUACACAUCUCUCUAUUCCGUCACUGAGUGCAGUGAAAUGCACUUGCUGUUUGUUCUCUCUCUGGAUCAGUUCCCUUUGCUUGAUGUAUUUUGCGGUACUGCACACUGAUGUAGUGGUGGGAUAGUCCAGUGACAAAAAAAAGGGUUUGCUGGCAAGAAGGAACCCUCCAAUCAACAUUACUGUCAACCAAAAGGUGUAAUGAUUCAUCUUUUCUGCAAGUACCUCGAUCCAGAGCUAACUUAAUUAGUAGCAUGGAUAGUGAGUAAACGCUCUGAGCAGAUCAGGUGUGAAUAUAUAUUUGGUAUUUCAGUAGGAUUUUUUUUUUAAAAUGCAUUUGAGAUCUAGAAUUCAUAUUGCAGAAACUUAAGUUUCGGCAAAACCGGAGUCUUGAUGUUGGUUUAUUAUAGAAAGAAUAGUUGUGACUGCUUUUGAUGGGAUGCUUAAAAACUAAAUAGGAGUUAAAAAAAAAAAAAAGCUUAUUGAAGCUUGAAAUUUAAUGUAUUUUGAAUAGUUGGGGUUUGCAGGAGUUUGAGUUUUGUAGUGGUUUCAGAUUUGGGGGAGUUAAGUUUUGUUUAGCUACUCCUUGGAUAAAUGGGCAGUAGAGUACAUUACAAUGAUCCUCUUGUCAAACAAUUUCAAGUAGCUUGGCUCCUGGGAAAGGAGAGAAUGCACUCCCUGGAAAGUGUCAGGACCAGUAUCAUGAGAUGAAAUUUCUAAAGGUAAGCUACGCUGUUGGGGGAGGGUGGUGGUAGUGGUGGUCUGUUCUUUUUUCUAAGUGAGGAUUCGGUAGGACAAUGAGUAGCAUGCCUGUGUGCAUCCUUCAGUGUGCUUGGCUGCACGUAUGGCUGUUGCGUAGGCUGCUAACUUAUUUUACUUUUCUUGUGAAAAUCUUAAUUUGAGAAUUAAAUAGACUAAUUCUUGUACUGUUCCUCCCCAGCCAUAUUUAUUGGGUAAUGCUUGUUCUGGUUUGUGCUAAAGUAAAACAAAAAGUUAAACUUCAACCUAGAAUAUGUAAUCAAAGAUUCCAAGCAUAAAAUAACACUGCAGAAUUUGAAGCUCCGUUUUAAAUCAUGUAGUUCACUUUUUUCUUCCCAUUGCAUUGGUGGUUUUUGAAGAGAUACGUCAUAAUCCUAGAGCGACAGCAUGAAACAAAACUGGAUAAAUAGCUGGGAAAAGGGUACAGCGUGCACGGUUUGUGAGUCUCUGGGAGUUUCACAUAAUGGGGUGGAACAUUAAAUGUGUUCUUCCGUGGCGAUUUUGAAAAUACACGUUGAUUCCUCUGUUUAGUUCCUUCUGGUUUUCUCUUGUGCUAAAAAUCCAAAUAUUUAAAUAAAAGUACGUUGAUACCCGC